UGAGCAUCGGUCGGUUUUCGGUUAAUAAUCGAAAUAACCAAAAAAAUAAUCACCUUCACAUAACCGACUGAAAUAACCGAGUAAAUACUCAUAACCAAA
Ipomoea nil (Japanese morning glory) is the source of this 99-nucleotide long non-coding RNA. RefSeq lists it as uncharacterized. Lineage: Eukaryota; Viridiplantae; Streptophyta; Magnoliopsida; Solanales; Convolvulaceae. The transcript has 3 exons. The record is from RefSeq and is a predicted model, not a curated record.